This 75-nucleotide transfer RNA is filed under the name Candidatus Peribacteria bacterium. Its description in RNAcentral is "tRNA-Phe". It matches the Rfam family "tRNA". Rfam says of the family: Transfer RNA (tRNA) molecules are approximately 80 nucleotides in length. Lineage: Bacteria; Candidatus Peregrinibacteriota; Candidatus Peribacteria. The record is from RNAcentral.
GCCAGAGUAGCUCAGGGGUAGAGCAGAGGCCUGAAAAGCCUUGUGUCGGUGGUUCAAAUCCGCCCUCUGGCACCA